Molecule: long non-coding RNA, 836 nt
Filed under: Sus scrofa (pig)
Lineage: Eukaryota; Metazoa; Chordata; Mammalia; Artiodactyla; Suidae
Description: lncRNA (ENSSSCG00050005418.1)
Source: RNAcentral
CAGCCUCUCUGCCAGCCUGGUCCAAGACUUGUUUUGGUAAGGAUGACAUGCUUAUACAGGUCUAGUCAAUAACAGGUCCUUUGUUCUGUCUCCUAGACCUCUGGGUGCCACUGUACGGACAUGUCCAGCUUGGCAGGCAGCUGGCAUCUCAAGGAUCUGGGUUGUUAUCAGAUGGACACUCACCAAACAGAGUCCCUCCUGGCCCGGUGGUGUGUGCUGCUGUGCACGUAGGCCUGCAUGCCUCAUAUCUGUGCCCAGCAAUUACAUCCCAAGCACCCUGCCCCAUUCCAAGGCAGCCGGAGCCAGCUGGGACACUGUGCCCGGGGUGGGAGCCAGGUAGUUUUCCUCCUUUCAUCCUUUUUGAUUCCAUAAGCAUUUUCUUCUAAGCUUGGGCUCUCACAGCAGUGUCCGACAUGGGAAAACAAACCCAGAAGGCAGGAACUGAGCUGCAUCUGCUCGUAGUGCUGCCUUUUGCUGUUCUGAAAUGGAGCCAAAAGGCACAGCCUCUGCCCUCCAGAACAGGAAGCCUGCAAGCAGCGUGUGCUUUCUGCAGCACUGCCUGCUCGCUUCUUCCACCCCCAACCCAGUCCGUCCACCUGCCUGACCAAGAGUGUGUGAUGUGCCCGACCUGCAGAUGGUAAGUGUCCCUGGCAACCAAAAUCUCUCAAACCAUUCCAACCCUGCCACCCUUCGAGUCCCAGCAUCACUGAGGUCCUUUCAGUGAAGAAUUGGCUAACAUUUUAGAUGUCUCUGAAUGCAAAUUUUUAUUCACAUUUAAUAAGGUGGUUUUGUGUGUUAAUGGAAAAUGAAAUAAACAUCAACAAUCACAUUAUUCA